Molecule: long non-coding RNA, 252 nt
Filed under: Gossypium barbadense (sea-island cotton)
Lineage: Eukaryota; Viridiplantae; Streptophyta; Magnoliopsida; Malvales; Malvaceae
Description: long non-coding RNA (GBAR_LNC019649)
Source: RNAcentral
CGCUGCACAACCCGCAAAUAUUAAGAAGUACGUGCCUAACACCUCUGCCAUUAGCUGCAGAUUCGGAUAUAAAACAAAACCAUCUUACCAUCAUCAUCAUCGUGAUAUGUAUGUAUGUAUGUAUGUAUGUAUGUAUGUAUGUAUGUAUGUAUGUAUGUAUGUAGAGUUACCUUUUGAAUGAAGGGUACAGAGAAACCCAGGUCAGAAUCUUUUCUUUUUGGAGCUGAUGAAGGAGGAGGAGGAGGAUGAGUG